RNAcentral lists this ribosomal RNA (473 nucleotides) under uncultured bacterium. RNAcentral's name for it is "bacterial SSU rRNA". It matches the Rfam family "Bacterial small subunit ribosomal RNA", at positions 335 to 799 of the family's 1533-position model. The record is from RNAcentral.
ACUCCUACGGGAGGCAGCAGUGGGGAAUAUUGCACAAUGGGCGCAAGCCUGAUGCAGCCAUGCCGCGUGUAUGAAGAAGGCCUUCGGGUUGUAAAGUACUUUCAGCAGUGAGGAAGGUGGGUAUGUUAAUAGCAUAUUCAUUUGACGUUAGCUGCAGAAGAAGCACCGGCUAACUCCGUGCCAGCAGCCGCGGUAAUACGGAGGGUGCGAGCGUUAAUCGGAAUUACUGGGCGUAAAGCGCAUGCAGGUGGUUUGUUAAGUCAGAUGUGAAAGCCCGGGGCUCAACCUCGGAAUUGCAUUUGAAACUGGCAAACUAGAGUACUGUAGAGGGGGGUAGAAUUUCAGGUGUAGCGGUGAAAUGCGUAGAGAUCUGAAGGAAUACCGGUGGCGAAGGCGGCCCCCUGGACAGAUACUGACACUCAGAUGCGAAAGCGUGGGGAGCAAACAGGAUUAGAUACCCCCGGUAGGCGUAG